UCCGGUGGCGCGCGCCUGUAAUCCCAGCUACUCGGGAGGCUGAGGCUGGAGGAUCGCUUGAGCUCAGGAGUUCUGGGCUGCAGUGCGCUAUGCCGAUCGGGUGUCGGCACUAAGUUCGGCAUCAAUAUGGUGACCUCCCGGGAGCGGGGGACCACCAGGUUGCCUAAGGAGGGGUGAACCGGCCCAGGUCGGAAACGGAGCAGGUCAAAACUCCCGUGCUGACCAGCUAAGCUAUUUAAAAUACUAAAGGAUGAUGGUGUUAAACUGUUGCAUUCACUAUUCCAAAUUUGCAUUCAGCAAAUU
This 303-nucleotide signal recognition particle RNA is filed under the name Ovis aries (sheep). RNAcentral describes it as "Metazoan signal recognition particle RNA (ENSOARG00000029761.1)". It matches the Rfam family "Metazoan signal recognition particle RNA". From Rfam's summary of the family: The signal recognition particle (SRP) is a universally conserved ribonucleoprotein. Lineage: Eukaryota; Metazoa; Chordata; Mammalia; Artiodactyla; Bovidae. The record is from RNAcentral.